Molecule: long non-coding RNA, 1763 nt
Filed under: Marmota monax (woodchuck)
Lineage: Eukaryota; Metazoa; Chordata; Mammalia; Rodentia; Sciuridae
Source: RNAcentral
UCAUUGGUUAAAUUUAUUUGUAGGUAUUUUGUUUAUUUGUUUUAGCUAUUGUAAAUGAAACGAUUCUCUUGAUUGAUUUUUCAGAUAGCUUGAUAUUAGCAUAUGGAAAUACUAAUGAUGUUUAUGUGAUUAAAUCAGCAGUUAAAAGUCUUCUAUCAAAUAAAAGUCCAGGACCUGAAGGCUUCCCUGCUAAAUUCUAUAAAACACAUUUAAAAAAAAAAAAAAAAACUGACACCGAUUUUUCUCAAAUUAUUCAAACAAGGAAAUUCUUUCAAACUCAUCCUAUGAGACAAGCAUUAUCCUGAUACCAAAACCAAAUAAGGACACAGACAACAACAACAACAACAAAAGAAAGCUGUAAGCAAAUAUCUCUGAAGAAUAUAAAGGCAAACAUUCUCAGCAAAAUAAAACCAAGCCAAAUCUAACAGCACAUUGAAAAGAUCAUUCACUACAAGUGCAUGGGAUUCAUUCCUGGGAUGAUGCAGGAUGGCUCAGUGUACACAAAUGAAUAAAUGUGAUACACCACAUUAACACAAUCGCGCACAAAAGCCAUAUGAUCAUUUCUAAUAGAUGCAUAAAAAGCCCUUGAUAGAGUUCAACAUAUCUUCAUGAUAUUAAAAAAAAGCUCUGAAGAAAUUAAGUAUAGAAUAAUAUCUCAACAGAAUAAAGGUCAUGCAUGACCAACUCACAUCUAAUAUCAUACUGAACGUGGAAAAAAUGGAAGCUUUUCUAGAAUAAGACAAGGAUACUAAUUUUGCCACUUUUACUCAGAAUAUUACUGGGAGUUCUAGCCAGAGAAAUUUGGCAAGAGAAAGAAAUAAAGGGCAUCCAAAUUUGAAAAGAUGAAGUCAUACUGUCCUUGUUUGCAGAUGACAUGAUCUUGUUUAUAGAAGACCCUAACGACUCCACCAAAAAAGAAAACAAAUGAUUGAAACUAAUGAUAAAUUAUGUAAAGAUUCAGGAUGCAAAAUCAACUGAAAAGAUAUUUUUAACACUUUUUGUUCAUAUCAAGUACAUAUGAGAGAAGUUUCCAAGGAAUAGUUUUUCUCUAUAAUGAUAAAUAUUCUGUUUAUUUUUCCUUUCAGAGUUGGUACCAAUUAAAAUACCAUGUACUAAUUGAUGAAAGUUAAUUGAAAAGAUCAAAUGUUGGUUUUCUAGAUUAGAUUAAUAGGAAGUAAUAUUACAUUUUGCUCAUGAUGUAAAGAAACUUCAAGCUCAAAACAACUUUUAGAAAGCAUUUUAUAUUGAAUUUGAGAUUCAAACACAUCACUGAAAAUAAAAUAUUAACAGAAACUCUAGUAUUCACUAGUGUACCAAUCCAGAGACAAAAGAAAAGUCCUAACCCAUGUCAAGUCUAUUUUCUUUUAUCUUUAUUGCCCUAGCUAUUAAUAUUUAGCCUCCCCUUAUGGUCCGAGAUGGCUGUGGAAUACCACGCCACAUUUUUAUGUUUUAUUCUAAAAAAGGAGGGUGGGUGAAAGGGGAGAACAUUGCAAUCUUCUUUUCCAGUGAGAAACAUUUGAAGUGCGCUUUUAUACCAUUUACCAGAACUUAGUCACGGGGACCAUAUGGUGUUUAGCUGGGAAUAUUGCAGAAUGAAAUGUAGGAAAAUGGAAUUAGAAGUUUUUUUAUUCAUAACUAUUGUAAUUAAAAUUGUGGACCUGGCAUAAUAAAGAAAAUAAUUAAAACUACAUGUAUUUUAAGAGUUUAUUUUGUGCCACGUUAAGUGCUAUCUAUCUAUAAUUACUUUUCAUUUAAUGUUUAAA